RNAcentral lists this ribosomal RNA (1264 nucleotides) under human gut metagenome. RNAcentral describes it as "bacterial LSU rRNA". It matches the Rfam family "Bacterial large subunit ribosomal RNA", at positions 1087 to 2381 of the family's 2925-position model. The record is from RNAcentral.
AGACAGCUAGGAUGUUAGCUUGGAAGCAGCUAUUCAUUCAAAGAGUGCGUAACAGCUCACUAGUCGAGCGGCAAAGCGUGGAUAAUAAACGGGCAUCAAGUAUACCACCGAAGUUCUGGGCACGAAAGUGCGGUAGGGGAGCAUUCCAUUCCGCGUUGAAGCCGAACCGUGAGGUUUGGUGGAGUGUAUGGAAAAGCAAAUGUAGGCAUGAGUAACGAUAAUGCGGGAGAGUAACCCGCACACCGCAAGACCAAGGUUUCCUGAUCAACGCUAAUCGGAUCAGGGUUAGUCGGGUCCUAAGGGUAAGCCGAACGGUGAUCUCGAUGGAUAAUCGGUUAAUAUUCCGAUACUGACAUAUACCUCGAUGGAGAGACGAAGGAACGUAAGUGCCGCCACCUGACGGAAUAGGUGGUUAAAGGGCUUAGGUAUAGGGGCAGAUUAAGAGUUAGUCCUUGCUGAAACCUGACAGUACAGAGAGCUUACGGGCAAUUUGAUAGUGCACCCAAGUCGACUUCCGAGAAAAUCUUCUAAGUUAUAGUAUAUGUCACCCGUACCGUAAACCGACACAGGUGGUCGAGGAGAGUAUCCUAAGGUGCUCGAGUGAAUCACGGUUAAGGAACUAGGCAAAUUAACCCCGUAACUUCGGGAAAAGGGGUCCCAUCGCGAGGUGGGCGCAGCGAAGAGGUCCAGGCGACUGUUUAUCAAAAACACAGGGCUCUGCAAAUUCGAAAGAAGACGUAUAGGGCCUGACACCUGCCCGGUGCUGGAAGGUUAAGAGGGGAUGUCAUCGCAAGAGAAGCAUUGAAUCGAAGCCCCAGUAAACGGCGGCCGUAACUAUAACGGUCCUAAGGUAGCGAAAUUCCUUGUCGGGUAAGUUCCGACCUGCACGAAUGGUGUAACGAUCUGGACACUGUCUCAACCGUGAGCUCGGUGAAAUUGUAGUCCCGGUGAUGAUGCCGGGUACCCGCAACGGGACGAAAAGACCCCGUGAACCUUUACUAUAGCUUAACGCUGAAUUUGGGUACACAAUGUGUAGGAUAGGCAGGAGACUACGAAGCGGGCACGCCAGUGUUCGUGGAGUCGACGUUGAAAUACUGCCCUUUGUGUACUUGAGUUCUAACCCUCGAGAGGGGACACCGUUUGGUGGGUAGUUUGACUGGGGUGGUCGCCUCCAAAAGAGUAACGGAGGCUUCCCAAGGUACCCUCAGCACGAAUGGUAACCGUGCGUAGAGUGCAAUAGCAUAAGGGUGCUUGACUGUGAGAC